This 380-nucleotide ribosomal RNA is filed under the name uncultured soil crust cyanobacterium. RNAcentral describes it as "bacterial SSU rRNA". It matches the Rfam family "Bacterial small subunit ribosomal RNA", at positions 376 to 770 of the family's 1533-position model. The record is from RNAcentral. Lineage: Bacteria; Bacillati; Cyanobacteriota.
CGAAAGCCUGACGGAGCAAGACCGCGUGAGGGAGGAAGGCUCUUGGGUCGUAAACCUCUUUUGUCAGGGAAGAACACAAUGACGGUACCUGACGAAUCAGCCUCGGCUAACUCCGUGCCAGCAGCCGCGGUAAUACGGAGGAGGCAAGCGUUAUCCGGAAUUAUUGGGCGUAAAGCGUCCGUAGAUGGUCGUUCAAGUCUGCUGUCAAAGACCGGGACUUAACCCCAGAAAGGCAGUGGAAACUGAACAGCUAGAGAGAGGUAGGGGUAGAGGGAAUUCCCAGUGUAGCGGUGAAAUGCGUAGAUAUUGGGAAGAACAUCAGUGGCGAAAGCGCUCUACUGGACCUUAUCUGACAUUGAGGGACGAAAGCUAGGGGAGCG